AUGUUAAAUAAAUCACCGUUUUUAGUUAAACAAAAGAGGUCUUAUAUCACAGCCAUAGACAGGAAAUUAAGGGAAGUGCCAUACUUAUCACGUUAUGUUAUUUUAGAAAAGUUUAAAAAAAAACCAAGAUAUAUGUCUGAGUGUGUUGGCACUCCCAGAAGAGCUUACAAUUAUAACACUUUUGACACGAUACGAUACAAGCCGACAUUUAACCCUUAUGUGAAAUUGAAUAAAGAUAAAAAAUAUAGAUUGGAUAAUUGGGCUUCUAGAAAUCAUGACGAAUUUAACCCAUUAGAAUGUUAUGUACGAGGCAGUAGGAAAAAAUACUCAAUUCCUUUUUCGAUCUUACCUAGUAAAGAUGAACUUGGGAAUUUCCAUCCACCCGUAUUAUCGGGUAGAUAUAAAGCUGAUAUAGAGAAGCAGUAUUAUAUGCACGAUUUACCAUGGGUGUGGCAUAGAAGCUUUUACGAGGGUACUAACCAUUUCUGUGAUAAUAUGGUUGUAGGAAAAAAAAAAUGGUACGUGAAGGAACAGCGAGAAGAAAGAAUGAAAGAGGCCUUGAAAAAGAUAAAUGACAUGGUUUUAGAAUAUAGAGAGGUAAAUAAAUAUUAAUCGAUACGCACAUACAUACGUACAUAUGCAUAUAUAUUUAUAUACAUGUGCACAGAAAAAAACAAUGCUUUCUACUUUUCCAUUUUAUAUAUUUUUCCUUUUUAUUCUUAUUUUAUCAUUGUAAAAAAAUUAUAUGUACAUAUAUACUGUAUAUGUUGUAUUUAAUUGUUUCCUUUUUUCUUAUGUUUUACUCUAAUGUAGGAAUGCAAAAGUAAAAAGAAAUAUAAUUUUUUUGAAAAGGCUGUUAAUACUUUGGGAGAAGAAGUAGCACAUAAAUAUAUUCGAAAAAUAAAAAAUAUUUAUUUGUAAUUAUUAUUAUUAUU
This 935-nucleotide long non-coding RNA is filed under the name Piliocolobus tephrosceles (Ugandan red Colobus). RNAcentral describes it as "lncRNA (ENSPTEG00000002970.1)". Lineage: Eukaryota; Metazoa; Chordata; Mammalia; Primates; Cercopithecidae. The record is from RNAcentral.